Molecule: ribosomal RNA, 253 nt
Filed under: uncultured bacterium
Lineage: Bacteria
Description: partial 16S ribosomal RNA
Rfam family: Bacterial small subunit ribosomal RNA
Source: RNAcentral
UACGUAGGGUGCGAGCGUUGUCCGGAAUUAUUGGGCGUAAAGGGCUCGUAGGCGGUUUGUCGCGUUGUUCGUGAAAACUCACAGCUCAACUGUGGGCGUGCGGGCGAUACGGGCAGACUAGAGUACUGCAGGGGAGACUGGAAUUCCUGGUGUAGCGGUGGAACGCGCAGAUAUCAGGAGGAACACCGGUGGCGAAGGCGGGUCUCUGGGCAGUAACUGACGCUGAGGAGCGAAAGCGUGGGGAGCGAACAGG